GUGCUCGAUUCGGCAGCACAUAUACUAAAAUUGGAACAAUACAGUGAAGAUUAGCAUGGCCCCUGCUCAAGGAUGACACGCAAAUUCAUGAAGCGUUCCAUAUCUUU
Small nuclear RNA from Ictidomys tridecemlineatus (thirteen-lined ground squirrel), 107 nucleotides. NCBI's taxonomy places the organism in Eukaryota, Metazoa, Chordata, Mammalia, Rodentia, Sciuridae. The record is from Ensembl.